AGAAACAUAAAUUACUUGUAAAUCCACGAGUUUAAAGGAGAAAAUAAUUCGCCUCAUGCUAAAAAUGGCACUCUGUUUUGGUCUGAAUGAAGAUGUGCCUGGAUAGGAAGGGCGGCCCAAAAGAGGAGCUGAUAAAACGCCGCAGGGCUUCUGAGAAAUGUUAUCAAAUGUGUCAAGAUGCUCGACACGCCCUCUCUAAAGUGGUCAGCGUCUCAACUUAUUUACCGAAUGACAGAGGCAAGGAGGCCGACUGAAGAAUUUCCCACUUCCCCAAUGAAAGCAAUGAAAGUGCAGCGUCAGACGAUUGCAACGAAGGAGAGUGAGAGGAGUCAUGCAGUUUGAGCAGCACUCUGAAUAAGACAACGUCUGCCUUCCUGAUGACUCACCAAGACUUCACAGCAAGCCCACUGCUUUGUGAAAGAACCGGACCGUCCAUUUCCCCGCCACAAAGCUCGGGAUGAGGCGGCUCCGACCCUGCAGCUGGACGGUGGGAGCAAAGUGAGCAGCAUUGAACUCCCGAGAUAAGUCGCUCACCAGCUCAUUUUGAACUUUCGAGUCCUUUGGCUUUCAAGUGCGAUUACCUUUGUUGUGACACACAAUGCAGCUCCUGACAAGGUGACGACUUUAAUCAACCUUCAAAGGCAACGGCAUCAUGUCGGUACGAGACCCACGCCCACUCACAAAGUGAAUCCUUUGCUCAGAUGUGUUAGCCUUGCUUUGGAGCAGACGAGAGCUGAAAUGAAAUCUGCUCACCAUAUGACACUCCAAUGACUGCGGAUACUCUCAUCUGCACUGAUCAAGAGGAGAGCGAAAACCGCACUUUGGGCUCACCAGCCAAGUGUUCUGGCGUCUUAACACUCAGCUAAAAGCUCCCACCUGUGGAGCAAGUAUGUGGUAUCAUCGUUUUUCUCAUUACAUGAAAACAAUUUUGGAAAUUGUAGAUUUUUGCUAUAAAUUCAGAAGAAGAAAAAAGAGUAGCUGCAUGUAAAAGCGUAAGAUAGGUGCAUUAAUGGCUCAGAUCGCAAACUUAAACACGACCUUUUACAUAGAUAUGUGUAAAAUAUCACAGUUGGUCUUACCAAAUUGCAGAUAGAUUUUAACCAAUAAAAUGUCAAACUGAAUUAGUAUUUCUGAGCCAGACUUGACUAAGUUCAACAUCUAAAAGAUCUAUAAGUCAAUCAAAUUCACAUUUAAAACAUGCUUAACUAAAUUACACAUUUUUAACCAGCAGUUGCAAUUAUUUUGCUCAUCUGGUCUGUCCUCUGUUUUAAAAAGAAACAACUAAUAGGAAGUGGUUUGAAGACAUUAGACAUUACUGAAAGUGUCACAAAUCUUCUAAAUUUGUCCUAACAAAGUAACCUGAACAAUUGGCUUUGUCUUAACAACCAAAGCCAAGAUAGUCUGUUGGCAAAAACUGCCUCGGGGUUAAGAAUCUCACCUUGCUAGCAAGUUUGGCUUCAGCGUUAGCGCUGCAGCUAACUAAGGAAACAAAUGUAAAACUCAGAAAACAUAUCGCGCCAACAGGAACCUUCACCACUGCAAGUUCCUAACUUUUUUGAAGUUGCUAUCCAUUCAUAAUUCAACACAUGUAAACAUAGCAGCCUAGUCUUUCUCUGCUAAUCGCCACACGUGGUGCAGCACAAUAAAAGCUGAUUGAGCCACCAUCUUCAUUUGCGUUCUAAACAAAAAAGUUCUGGUUUUGUCAGAGUUGAAUAGUUAUUAAAUUGUACUUUUGCUGGUGCGUCAAUAAGAAAAAACAAAACCGUGGUUUAAAAAAUAAUCCAAAAGAAACUCGUGUGCAGAGUCGGUACGGACGACGACAGAUUGAAUUCACCACAUAUCGAACUUGGACGCAGUCUCAUAAAAAUCAUCAUAUAUUUCCAGAUGUUCUCACUGACAAGCUCUCAGUAAGGAUAUUCUGCGUGCUGUUUGAACAAAAAUAAAAAAAACCAGGUUAAAUCAUCCGCAUUAGACCGGUUUCUCUGCAGUGCAAGAGCCCUGGGAGAUGGAGACAGACCACGGUUACUCUCUGCAUCUAAUUCCACUCUUCAUAAUAUUUGUCUCCACAUGUCCUCUCUGGGAAAAGGCACUGUGGAUAUUUGUUACACCUCACACUGACAGUAAUGGGCCUCACUGAACAGAACCGGUGUUCUGCUCUCUCCGACCUCCCCUCUGGUCCCGAGAGCCGUGUCUCAAGAUGGGUGGGGGGCUCCCAGGUGUCCUCCCUCUCAGCUAAUUGAGGGCUAGUUAAGGCAAGUUGCUACGGUGGAGACUCUCACGUGUGAGAUGCUACUUUUAGUGUCCCUCUUGAGAAUACUGCUGUGGUUAGGAACAUUUAUAUUUAUAAUGUGUGCACAGAACGUGGCAAAAGCAAUUCUUUAGUUGUUGGAUUUUUGCUUAUUGGUUUUGGUUGGUCCACAUUUCUGCCUUCCAACAAACAUCUACUCACCGCGCGAUUCUGCCUGCCUCCUGCUUGCCUCCUGCUUGUGUUUGGGUCCUCUACUGCCCUAAGAACGACUUGGUUUGAAAAAGAGGACGAUGCUUCUAGAUGCACAUUGUAGAAUAUGUUAAAUGUGAAAGCUAAGUCCAUAAAAAGGGACCAAACUGAGCCCCGAUAACAAUUCGUUCAUUUUCCAGAAUGAAUGAAUUUCAAAAACAUGAGUUGAGUUUUGUCUUUAUUUCCACUCACACCCCUUCAUGUCAGCCUGUUUUAAUCAAUCCACAGCUGGUCUUGAUGGGUGUUUUUGAUUAUCAUCCUGUCAAAACACCCAUUUGUGUCACAUUUUAAGCAUCUACUUUAUUUGUGAUGAAAUAGAAGGAUUAGGAGCUUAGCCUCUUUCUUCUUUAUUCCAACAACCCGCUGGCAGCAAGCUCGCUCUGUUUAGCCCGCUUUAAUCAAACUCUGGUUUGUUUGCCUGGAAAGUCCGGUUCGCUUUGGGAGGUGUGAAUGCGCAAUAAAACUCUGAUGCAGAACAAAAAAAAGAAAAGAAUAUGUAAAAACUAACUUUCCUGCUACAAUUCUGGUGUUGUAGCAUGUCCCAGCUCAUGCCAGGCAUGCACUUUGCUUCUUGGAUUGUUCCUGAUCAUCUUGACCAAUUACAUUUCAUUUGACUCAGAUAAUGACCAACCAAAUUAGUUUUGAAACAGUUCAGUCAGGCUACUAUUAAGCCUUUGGAAAGCGCCCCCUUACCAAAUCCUUGAAGACUUUUGAUCAAUACUUAAAAGUCACAUUUCUGUGCCAGACCAAAAAAAAAUAAAAAAUUCUGCCGACUCCGCAGUAAGAAGUAGUCAAAUAUCCAGCCAGAAUAAGACCAGAAACUUUUUUGUGGACAAGUACGGUACUCAGAAUGAUUGCAUGUGCAUGUUCAAACUUUAAUAGACUAUAAAGUUAAACCUGUGCACCCAAAUCUUGUUUUCCCACACUGUUUAAGCUGUUUCAUAUAUGACUAAACUUUUCAUCACAACUACAAUGCCUGAGUUAGCUUCAGAGGAACGACGUUGUUUCUCCCAACCUGAGAAAGAUCAGCUGCUUGUGUACCUGUCGCAGCCAUUACAGUUCGUCGUCCGCAUGCAAGCAUUAGUUCAAGAGUUGACCAAAUGACUCUGGGCCUCCGCUGCCAGAGAUAAUGAAAGCAUUACAUUUCAGAUUUGGCUUUACCGCUUGUUUUGCGCAAGCUUUUUAGACAUAAUACACGUUUUAAAUGGGAACAUUGCAUACAGCUAAUUUGUUUUGGCUUCCCGCUGUGCCCCGUUCCGCCCCGUCUACAUUCUGUGCGGGGCUCUCACGUGCGUACAGAGUGUUCCCGGCGGAGUCUGCGAUGUUUUCCAAAGAGAUUAAGGAAUUUUUUUUAAAAAGCUGUAGAAUACGAUGUACUUCGUGUGCAGAGCGGGAAGCCGUCAGUAGCGGCAUCUUUUUGUCUGGAUGCAGGUCAGUGCGAGUCAGUAAGGAACUAUGAGGCUGAGCUCAUCCGCUGCAGGAGGAUGAAGACAGGACAGAUAAAAUAACAUAAAACAAAAACAAUAAAAAAAAUGAAAUCAGUGUAAGUCUGUGGCGGAGAAAUGGGGGGAAACAAUUCAUGUGUGUGUGUGUGUGUGUGUGUGUGUGUGUGUGUGUGUGUGUUUACUGCAGUCCUGGUUCAAUUAUCCUUGUCCAAAUUGAAUUUGUGAUGGGACCAUCUAACCUUGUCGGAGGUACUUGGCCUGAUCCAACACACAAUCCAUUGUUUUGUAGUCCACCUUAUUCUGAAUGUCCUGCAUUAGUUGAAUACAGCCCGCUGCCUUGGCAACCGCAGCCAUAAACACAUUAUCCAGACAAUGUCAUAUUUCUCUUCAAUAAUUGUUGCUGUAAGAGCAGAUUUGAUGUUAGUUUUCUGUCAGCCCUGCAAAUGGAAAUACCGCAAGAGUUCAUUGGCUGCCUAGGUUUAGAUUCAGUCAGAGUAACGUAAUGAGUGUGUGUUCAAUUUGCAACUAAUGUAUAUGGUUAGUUAUGAAACUAACCAUAUACAUUUUCUUUUCCGUGUUCACAUUUUUUGUUGACACCGCAGCCAAAAACUUCCAAUGUAUUUCAGUGGGAAUUUAUGUCAUAAAAGCAUUCAACGUAGCGCAUAGCUGUGAGUGAAAGGAAAAUAAAAGCUGAAUCUUACCAGAAGAGACAAAAACUGAGCCUGCAUGAAGAACAUAGUUUGAACAAAUCUCACCGUGGCAGUGGCAGUGUCAUGCUGUGGGAAACAGGAACAGUUAGGAACGAAGCUUAAUACAAGAUAAUCCUGGAAACAACCUGCAAAAGAUUUGGGAGUGGAGUGGAUAUCCACCUCUCAGCAGGAUAACGACCGUCACUGGAAGGGCCACAGUGGCCUAGUCCAAGGCCCUGCAACCUUCAGUUGAAGCAGCCAUUUUGCUCUCAGUCUAACUAAAUAAAACUGUGCUUAGGAUGGAAAAUGUUUGAUCAUCUUUUGGGGGAAAAAAAGGGUGCUUAUAAUUUUUUACUAAAUGCCUAUUAUAGAAAAUGUGUUCUAAAUUUCAAAGAACUGUUUUUUUUAUUUCUGUUUUUAGGUUUUAAACAAAGAAAGAUGCAAAAGAAAAAUUGCAACAAAGUAAAUGUAUA
This is a long non-coding RNA of Gambusia affinis (western mosquitofish), 5104 nucleotides long. RefSeq lists it as uncharacterized. The transcript is spliced from 3 exons. Lineage: Eukaryota; Metazoa; Chordata; Actinopteri; Cyprinodontiformes; Poeciliidae. The record is from RefSeq and is a predicted model, not a curated record.